Molecule: ribosomal RNA, 634 nt
Filed under: uncultured bacterium
Lineage: Bacteria
Description: bacterial SSU rRNA
Rfam family: Bacterial small subunit ribosomal RNA
Source: RNAcentral
AGAGUUUGAUCCUGGCUCAGGAUGAACGCUAGCGGCAGGCCUAAUACAUGCAAGUCGAACGGUGAUAUUUAUAUCAUAGUGGCGCACGGGUGCGUAACACGUAUGCAACCUACCUAUUAUUGGGGGAUAGCCUUUGGAAACGGAGAUUAAUACCGCAUAAUACGAUUGACUGGCAUCGGUUGAUUGUUAAAGCUUCGGCGAUAAUAGAUGGGCAUGCGUCCAAUUAGUUAGUUGGUUAGGUAACGGCUGACCAAGACGAUGAUUGGUAGGGGAUCUGAGAGGAUAAUCCCCCACACUGGCACUGAGAUACGGGCCAGACUCCUACGGGAGGCAGCAGUAGGGAAUAUUGGGCAAUGGGCGGAAGCCUGACCCAGCCAUGCCGCGUGCAGGAAGAAGGCGUUAUGCGUUGUAAACUGCUUUUUUAUAGGAAGAAGGAUCCCUUGCGAGGAAAGGUGACGGUACUAUAAGAAUAAGCACCGGCUAACUCCGUGCCAGCAGCCGCGGUAAUACGGAGGGUGCAAGCGUUGUCCGGAUUUAUUGGGUUUAAAGGGUGCGUAGGCGGUUUAUUAAGUCAGUGGUGAAAGACGGUCGCUCAACGAUUGCAGUGCCAUUGAUACUGGUAGACUUGAGUGAG